Molecule: ribosomal RNA, 465 nt
Filed under: uncultured Klebsiella sp.
Lineage: Bacteria; Pseudomonadati; Pseudomonadota; Gammaproteobacteria; Enterobacterales; Enterobacteriaceae
Description: bacterial SSU rRNA
Rfam family: Bacterial small subunit ribosomal RNA
Source: RNAcentral
CCUACGGGGGGCAGCAGUGGGGAAUAUUGCACAAUGGGCGCAAGCCUGAUGCAGCCAUGCCGCGUGUGUGAAGAAGGCCUUCGGGUUGUAAAGCACUUUCAGCGGGGAGGAAGGCGUUAAGGUUAAUAACCUUGGCGAUUGACGUUACCCGCAGAAGAAGCACCGGCUAACUCCGUGCCAGCAGCCGCGGUAAUACGGAGGGUGCAAGCGUUAAUCGGAAUUACUGGGCGUAAAGCGCACGCAGGCGGUCUGUCAAGUCGGAUGUGAAGUCCCCGGGCUCAACCUGGGAACUGCAUUCGAAACUGGCAGGCUAGAGUCUUGUAGAGGGGGGUAGAAUUCCAGGUGUAGCGGUGAAAUGCGUAGAGAUCUGGAGGAAUACCGGUGGCGAAGGCGGCCCCCUGGACAAAGACUGACGCUCAGGUGCGAAAGCGUGGGGAGCAAACAGGAUUAGAUACCCCAGUAGUC